AAAACAACCUGCCCCAACUGCCUCCGCUUCUGCAUAAAGCUCCUCUCCUUGGGUCGCUCGACCUGCCUCCGGUUUUGCCAUAGCUCGCUUGUCCUCUGCUCUUCCCGAAUAAGCCCCCCCUCCCUUUUUUUUUUUUUUUUUUUUUUUUGCUGAUAAAAUAACCUGAUGGAUUCAUUUUUAGGGUUACCGCGGGUACUCUUCACUUGGGCGGAGACAAAAUGAGGCCAAUUAAUCUGCUCACCCCAGGCGUUAACGUAGCCAUUGACCCACGCGUACUGUCAGUUCGUGCCAGGUACCGGACUGUGUAUACGGCGGAGGACAAACGCUCCGAGCCCUUGUGAACUAACGACCCCACGGACGUCACAGGCUUGGAAACACACAGGGGACAACCUCGGGGGCAGAAGACGAGAAAACGACGGCGGAGAGGGACGCGCAGGAGGCUGGCGAGGCCCCAAGCGGGGCGGGGAGGCCCGGCGGGAAGACCAGAGGGCCCCGGGCCCGCGGCCGCAGGUCGAGGCGGCGACUGGCGCCGGGGGUAGGACUCCAGCCCGAGACCGGGCCGGAGGAGGAGGAGGAGGAGGAGGCGCAGGCCCUCGGACUUACCGUCGGGCUCCCUCACUGCCGGCGCCGCCUCGGCGCUCUGCCUCUCGAGCCACUGCACGGCCGCGAACCCGCCUCCCGCGGCGCCCACCGCAGCUCCGGCCACGAAGACGCCCAGAGAGCGCCCGGAGCCUCCGAGGCGGGAAGCAAAACUUUUGGCAGCCAUGCCCGGAGCACCUGCCUUCUGCGGCCGCGCGUGCGCACAGCAGCUCUGGCGCCUGCUAGCCAAUCGCGACCGCGGGACCGAGGCACGCAUGCGCACCCCGGCGUUGCCGGGUCUGGACCGGCCUGGAGACCCGGGAUGCGCAGAGCGCAGGCGCACAGCCUCCCCGCUGAGGGCCUCGGGAGCCCCCUGCUGUCAAGGCUGGAGGCGCGAGUGAAGCCGCCCCCCACCCGCUCCACCCCUGGUUCGCUGGAUCCGGCGACGAGUGGGAGGCGCGGCACUUGCGGGCGCAGUGGUGUGCACAUGCAGUCCUGAGAAGAAAAUACCUUUAGCCCCCCGUGACAGAGCCAUGUUGAACAACGAAGGACAAGCAGACCAUGUUGAAGAGUGACAGCUGAUGACAGGCCGAUGAUGCUCACCAUUUCCCUUCACAGCCACAUCUUCCUUCCUCCUAAGGAUGCUCCACCUAUAGCCCUCACCCUGAGUACCUCACUCAAAGGACUCCUGGGAGGGACCAGUGGUCCCAGGAGAAAACCUGGCUGAUGCCAGCCCCUAAGGACUACGUCCAAGGCCUCCUCUGGACCGUCAUCAAGAGUUCUUUGCAGGACACUGUUAAACCAUGGCCUCUGUUCCCCACUUACCUCCUCCUUCUCUUGAUCAUUCCUGUAUUUCUCUGGCUCAGUGUAUCUUCCCAGUGAUCACGGGUAUUUCCAAACAGAACACAUUCUCUCCCAAAGCCCACCCCACAGCCAGGAGCCUGUGUGGAUAGAACACUAGAAACGAAGGAGCAAGGAUCCUUGGCCACCUCUCUCCUCUGGCUUGACCACUCUCCCAACCUAGAUGCCUAGAUGGGGCAGCCUCUCCCAGUAACAGGCAAAAUGAUGUUCAACCUCUACCAGGCUGCUACAAGAGCUGGAGGGGGAGGGGGGAAGCUAGUUUUCUGAGCUCCCCAGAGGUGGACACAACAUGAAAUCUUUGUGGAAAAGAGCACAGACAGAGGCCCUACAACCCAAUAAACACAAACCAGUUCUCUAAAUGGUUUGCUGCUCCCCAAAGAAUACAUGACAGCACACAGACAAAAGGGUCUGGUGCAAAAGACCCAUCCCAGGCUCCCAGGGGCAUACCCUGGAAAAAGAUCACCCACCUUCUUCUGCCAUCAGCAGCAGGCAGGGAUAUUGCCCAAUGGGUGCAUUUUAUACCACAGCACAAGGGAGAGGCAGCCUGAAGCCCAAAGGACUGGCGCUCCUCAGACUCCCCUCACUGGGCCAGCCCACACAGGAACCAUCUCCAGACACUUCAUUCUGGUGCCAAGACCCAAAAGCUACCAGAGCAGCUGAGCACAAGGUCGGCAAAGAGGGAGCCCAUCCAGAUAAAAGGCCUGUAGGCCAAUAGGAAGGCCAGCCCCAUCUGUACUGCAUCUGGACAAGCAGGUCCCACACCAAUGCCACAGCUCAACCCUCCACAGCCAGGCCAAAAACUUGUUCUCACAAGAAUCAAGCCAGACAAAAAAAUCAUCCAGAGGAAAUCUAAAACCAAAUGGAGAGGCAGGGGUUUAGUGUUCCACGAUGGGCAGGAUGAGGGAUCUGAUCAUUCCUGUGGUGAAUCAGCUACAUCUGUUAGUGGUUUAUUUGUUGCCGAGGUUGAAAAGCAGAUGCUAGAAAAGUAGAGAUGCACUGCCUGAGGUGAAAGCUAAAGAAAUUAGAUAUGGCACUUUUCAAUAAAUAUUUUAAAGCUUUUUAAAGAAAUAAGUGGAAAAGAAAAGCAACUGCUGUAAGGCCUGUUUUGCUGUUAAAAAUUAUUCCGAGGGAAGAAAAAUACCACAGCACAAAAUAAUUUAAAAAAAAAAAAAGGAAAAAAAAGACAACACAGCUUACCCAACAAAAUCUUGUCCCUGUAACCACCUUGGCCAGCUCACAGCUUGACCUUUGAAACAAAAACUGAGCUCUGAGAGGGACACUACUCACCUCUCACAGUACCCUGUGCCCAGACAUGCAGUAAAGGGACGCAGCCAAGGGGCAAGCCCCAGACGCACACAGUGUGCCCAGUGGGGAGCAGGCACCCUCAUACUGUGAUGCCAGGGUGCCGUGAGAACUCUCCACUCUCUCAAAGACUGCCCAGAGUCACAGUGUGGACUCAUGGAGACACUACCGGCCUCCUCCGCCAUCGCUGCUGCUUAAGGAAAUUUACCUCCAGCACGUCUAAGGGCCACCAUCUGGCCAAGUUACAGUGGGGUUACCUGUCAUUCUGAACACUAACCAAUCCAGUUGAGGGAAAGAUCUAAACCUCCAUGUAAGUCAAGAGGAGGCACUCCUGUCCCGUUCUCACCCAGGUCAACCUCUCCCCAUCGCUCACUGCCUCACCUACCCUCAAGAUGAAAGAGAUCCAGUUUUUAAAUAAAAGUCUCAAGAAACCCAGAGGGAAAAGCCUUCAUAAACAAGAAUGAUGAAUGCCCAGACGGCCCAGAAAGCCAAUCUACAGUUGAUGACAAUUAUUUACAAGGGGGCGUUAUCAAACAAAAAUGGUAGCACUCCCUAGAAGACUCAAACUUUUUUUUCUUUUUCUCUAUUUCUUUUAAACUUUCUUGUCAUAAAAGCCAACUUACAUUAAAAUAUACUUACUACGAGACAACACAACUAAUAAAAUAUAUAAUAAAACUUA
Molecule: long non-coding RNA, 3421 nt
Organism: Canis lupus familiaris (dog)
Lineage: Eukaryota; Metazoa; Chordata; Mammalia; Carnivora; Canidae
Exons: 2
Source: RefSeq, a predicted model, not a curated record